GAUAAACGCUGGCGGCGUGCCUAACACAUGCAAGUCGAACGUCCUUCCCUUCUUCGGAAGGGGGAGGCAGUGGCGGACGGGUGAGUAGCACAUGGGUGACCUGCCUUCCAGUGAGGAAUACCGGCGAGAAAUCGCCGACAAUGCCGCAUACGCUCACGAGAUCAGCGCCGUGAGCAAAGCUCCGCAAGGGGCGCUGGAAGAGGGGCCCGUGGCCGAUUAGCUGGUGGUGGGGUAACGGCCUACCAAGGCGACGAUCGGUAGCUGGUCUGAGAGGACGAUCAGCCACACUGGGAUUGAGAACGGCCCAGACUCCUACGGGGGCAGCAGUGAGGAAUUUUCCGCAAUGGACGCAAGUCUGACGGAGCAACGCCGCGUGCAGGAGGACGGUCUUCGGAUCGUAAACUGCUUUUCCC
This 413-nucleotide ribosomal RNA is filed under the name uncultured bacterium. RNAcentral describes it as "bacterial SSU rRNA". It matches the Rfam family "Bacterial small subunit ribosomal RNA", at positions 28 to 440 of the family's 1533-position model. The record is from RNAcentral.